This 253-nucleotide ribosomal RNA is filed under the name uncultured bacterium. Its description in RNAcentral is "partial 16S ribosomal RNA". It matches the Rfam family "Bacterial small subunit ribosomal RNA", at positions 524 to 776 of the family's 1533-position model. The record is from RNAcentral.
UACAGGGGUGGCAAGCGUUGUUCGGAAUUACUGGGCGUAAAGGGCGAGUAGGUGGCCAUCUAAGUCAGACGUGAAAUCCCCCGGCUUAACCUGGGAACUGCGUCUGAUACUGGACGGCUUGAGUAUGGGAGAGGAACGUAGAAUUCCAGGUGUAGCGGUGAAAUGCGUAGAUAUCUGGAGGAAUACCGGUGGCGAAGGCGGCGUUCUGGACCAUUACUGACACUGAAUCGCGAAAGCUAGGGGAGCAAACGGG